AGAAACUUAGGUUAACUUAAACCAGUAGCCUUCAAAGCCCCUAAUGGAAGUUAAAAUCUUCCAGUUUCUG
RNAcentral lists this transfer RNA (70 nucleotides) under Megalamphodus sweglesi. RNAcentral's name for it is "Hyphessobrycon sweglesi tRNA-Trp". It matches the Rfam family "tRNA". Rfam says of the family: Transfer RNA (tRNA) molecules are approximately 80 nucleotides in length. Their secondary structure includes four short double-helical elements and three loops (D, anti-codon, and T loops). The record is from RNAcentral. Lineage: Eukaryota; Metazoa; Chordata; Actinopteri; Characiformes; Acestrorhamphidae.